Harpia harpyja (harpy eagle) is the source of this 428-nucleotide long non-coding RNA. RefSeq lists it as uncharacterized. Lineage: Eukaryota; Metazoa; Chordata; Aves; Accipitriformes; Accipitridae. The transcript has 3 exons. The record is from RefSeq and is a predicted model, not a curated record.
GGCCGGCACCGGCGGACCCGCCCGCUUCUGCUUCCCGCUUGCGCCGGUCCCUUCGGGUGGCUCCCGCCGCCAACCCCACCUGAGAAAUCAGAAUGCUCUGGAUCAUUAUCUGUUACACUAUUAUAUAAAAUUUAUAUUUAACCUGAAAUCAAAAUGACAAUCAACAAUGACAACCUAUCCCUGCUGAAAAAGUAGCACAACUACUAAAGCUGCUGGAGGGAUGAGUUGGCUGAAGGGGAAGCAGCAGCAGCAAAGGAAUUCUAUUAAUGAAAGGAAGAGUGAAAAACAGAGAACGAAGCUCAGGAAGGUCUUAUAGAAGAUUCAUGGAGAAAGGUACACUGUUGUGGAGUUCACAUGCCGCUUCAUUGCACAAGGGAUCCCAAGAGAUUGCUUACAAGCAGUUCUGCUAAUUUAUUAGUAUAUUAUGC